GACAGAGGGUGCAAACGUUGUUCGGAAUUACUGGGCGUAAAGCGAGUGUAGGCGGUUCGAUAAGUCGGAUGUGAAAGCCCGGGCUCAACCCGGGAAGUGCACUCGAUACUGUCGAGCUAGAGUAUCGGAGAGGUGGUGGAAUUCUCGGUGUAGAGGUGAAAUUCGUAGAUAUCGAGAGGAACACCGGUGGCGAAGGCGGCCAACUGGACGAAUACUGACGCUGAGACUCGAAAGCGUGGGGAGCAAACAGG
RNAcentral lists this ribosomal RNA (251 nucleotides) under uncultured bacterium. RNAcentral's name for it is "partial 16S ribosomal RNA". It matches the Rfam family "Bacterial small subunit ribosomal RNA", at positions 524 to 776 of the family's 1533-position model. The record is from RNAcentral.